AACGCGAAGAACCUUACCUACCCUUGACAUCUAGCCAAUCCUGCAGAGAAGUAGGAGUGCCUUCGGGCAAGCUAAGACAGGUGCUGCAUGGCUGUCGUCAGCUCGUGUCGUGAGAUGUUGGGUUAAGUCCCGUAACGAGCGCAACCCUUGUACCUAGUUGCCAGCACGUAAAGGUGGGAACUCUAGGUAGACUGCUGGUGAUAAACCGGAGGAAGGUGGGGAUGACGUCAAGUCCUCAUGGCCUUUAUGGGUAGGGCUACACACGUGCUACAAUGGGCAGUACAGAGGGAAACGAAAUCGAGAGGUGGAGUGAAUCUUGAAAAACUGUUCGUAGUCCGGAUAGGAGUCUGCAACUCGACUCCUUGAAGUCGGAAUCGCUAGUAAUCGCGAAUCAGCAUUGUCGCGGUGAAUACGUUCCCGGGCCUUGUACACACCGACGC
RNAcentral lists this ribosomal RNA (440 nucleotides) under uncultured bacterium. RNAcentral describes it as "bacterial SSU rRNA". It matches the Rfam family "Bacterial small subunit ribosomal RNA", at positions 958 to 1396 of the family's 1533-position model. The record is from RNAcentral.